CAUUUUCUUAUAAAAACACAUCAGCAGCUACAAAAAUCAUGUUUGAAAUAUGACUACAUGCAAUUUAUGCUGUAAAUUAUAUAACAGAUAGAUGCGGGCCUGGCUUCUGAAUUAAUGCAAUCAGAAUGAACGAUGAUGUAAAAUUCUUAGUAAAAUAUACACAAGUUUUCAGGGUCUGGGUUAAACUGGACUAAAUGACUGGAGAAGUCCUGCAUACGUCACCAGAUAGAAGUCUGUCGUUUUAAACAGAAGGUCCAGUUAUGACAUUUAGAUCAAGCAUUAAAAGGUCAAAAACUUUUUUAAAUAUAACAUAUGCAUGGAUGAAUCGUUCACAAUAAGAUCUGUAAUGUUUAUUGAGAAAAAACAUAGGCUGAAUUUUCAUUUCAUGCCAGCUUUAUUAUUUUUAAUAUGUAAUAAGUGUAAUUUUCAAGGGGUUGCAGAGCUUAAGUCCUUUAGCUUUGAGUCCCAUGACAAUAUUCACAUUAUAUCAAUAUCUCUCACCUUAUUAUUCAAACAAAAAUGUGACUGCUUCUGCAAGUGUUAUUACCCACAGACCUUGUUUAAUUAUAAAUUAAACUAUUCUAAACUAAUAAGAAAUUCCUUGAGAAUUGAGCUUGAGAAUUCAAAUUCACAUUUAUAGUGCACUUUAUAGAGCACCUACCCUAAUUUCUAAAGCAUCUUAUUGAUUUUUUCCUUCUUUUUGUCAGGAGCCUGCUUUGGUGGCUCCAAUGACCUAGUGCCUCAAAUGUUCAUGGAAGCGUAAAGUUGACUGACAAAGCUUUGGCAUUGGAUUUGUAAUAGGAUUGACGACACUCUUCCAUUCUUUCUUCAUGUGCGUCUUGUUGUUCUCCACACCAAACGAUACAUUUCACAGUUAUUCAAGAUAAACAACAAACUAUUUUACGUAAUGUGUAUAAUACAAAAUACGCUUCAUGGUUCUCAUCUUGCCCUUGGCGAAAAUAAAGCGUUUCCAGCUGGGGAAUGAGCGCACGAUGGACGCGGUGGGUGUGGAGAAGAUUUGACAGGGAAAAAAACGCAUCAUAAGCCUGUCAGAAGUGAAGCUCAACGUGAAGCGUAUUUGAUUUCGCGCGCGGGUUAAUUAUUUUCAGAUUUCCGAACUAUUAAAUGACCAAAAUCCAAUUGAAUACCAAUAUAUUUAACAUAUACUGCUAAAUUCAGGUCUGCACGGCCAUAUUGGAUCAUCCCACCCAGUUUCAUCAGUAUAUUACUAGAUGUGGUUCUCCCACACCCGAGCACGUAGUGCUUUAACGCGGGGAUGCGCUGCAAAACGCACCAGCGUGUUAUUGGGCCAUUACUACAAUUUAUAUAAACAUAUGAUAAAGGACGCAACCUUUAUAUAUUUUAUCAAGCCAUAUGUACUCUCUUCGAAGAGAUACGGCUGUUGGCGGGGACGUGUGGUCUGUUUUCCGGGGAGCGGCGCUCAACCCGACGGUGAAUGUGUUCUGGUGUCCCUUUGCAGCAGCAGAUCUCUCACAUGGCUUCAGGAUGGAGCGCGCGACUGUUGACUCCACAGCAGCCAAGCCUUUGUUUCCCGCGCGACAGUUAUUCCGCGAGCGUGUUAAGGGCAAUGUCUGGCAUCUCCUCCUCCUAGUGAGAAGAGAUGCUUGGAUACGCCUCCCUCCGGACACUUGAGGGGCUGUAUAAACGAUGUAAACACAGACUCGAAGGAUAGAUUGAUGGAGGUUUUACAACAAAAUUCUAGCUUUAAGUUAUUGUAUUGGGGAUGUUUACAUGUUACCUCACAUACUACUACUAAUAAACUGUUCAUAAACCUGUUCUCCUUAUUUUAACUCCUUAUACCUAAAUUAUUAUUUUACACUUUUUAUUUAUGCUAACAUUGUUGGAAAUUUAGGUUAGAAAUUCUCUGUAUUUCCUAAUAUAUUAUUAGCUAUACUAAAAUAAGGAAUAAAGUGAAAAUAUACCAUGCCAUAUCAGCAUUUUACAAUUAGGUCAUUCGUUAACAUUAAUUAACUAUAGUUAACAUGAACUAACAACGAAAAAUACUACUAAUACAAUAACAGUUCCAUCUUUAUUAACUACCAUUAACAAAGAUACUGUAACUAAUGUAUUGCUCAUUGUUAGUUAAUGUAAACUAAUGGGAUCUUAUUGUAAAGUGCUACAUUCACAGUUUAAAGUGGUUAUGAGGAAAUAAAUGACAACAUGAAAAGUUAGAUACUGUUAGUCACGAACACCAGAAGAAAUAAGAAGAAGAAUAAAAGUUUAGCUAACCUUGUACUGGUCCUGCUGUGAGUAGCUUCUGUUAGUCUCUACAUAGUUAUCCUUCUGAAGAAGCCCAAUAUUAGGAGGAACAACCAGAUAAAGAUUCUAGCUCAUCUCAGGACCAUCGUUAACAGUUUUAGCACACAUUAUUUUAAAUCCAAAAACAACCUCGCAGUAUGCUGGUGAAAGUCCAGCACAACACUUUUUUUUUUUUUCCACAUGUGAAGAGAGUUUUUACAUAGGACUUUUAAACAAGAGGUCAAAGUUUGGCUGGUUAACAUGUUCCCUUUAGCCCCUGCUGGUAUUUGCCGGAACUACAUGGGAGCAAAAAGCAGUUUUCUCCAUUGACACUCAUUCAAAAAUUGUAUUCUAAAUAGCCUACAUACAUUUUUGAUGUGCUAGCCCAGGGGUGUCAAACAUACAGCCCGCGGGCCAAAUACGCCCCACAAAGGUGUCCAAUCCGGCCCGUGGGAUGAUUUGAACUAUAAUUUUUAAAAAAAUAGAGACGCACUAGUCCACUGGUCAUAAAUCCAAACGUUUUUUAGUUUUAUUUAUGGUUAUUUUUUUUCCAACCCGGCCCUCAACCUAAAAUAAGUUUGACACUCUUGAAAACAACUGCCACUGAGAUGAACUGAAAUGCUAAGAUUUCUCCAGGUAUUAUAGACCUCCUUAAAGGAACACUCCACUUUUUUUGAAAAUAGGCUCAUUUUCCAGCUCCCCUAGAGUUAAACAGUUGAGUUUUACUGUUUUCGAAUCCAUUCAGCCGAUCUCCAGGUCUGGCGGUACCACUUUUAACAUAGCUUAGCAUAGUUCAUUGAACCUGAUUAGACCGUUAGCAUCUCGCUCAAAAAUGACCAAAGAGUUUCGAUAUUUUUCCUAUUUAAAACUUGACUCUCCUGUAGUUACAUCGUGUACUAAGGCCGACGGAAAAUGAAAAUUUGCGAUUUUCUAGGCCGAUAUGGCUAGGAACUAUACUCUUAUUCAGGCGUAAUAAUGAUAACAAUGAUAGGGGAGUUGGAACUAUGCUAAGCUAUACUAAAAGUGGUACCGCUAGACCCGGAGAUCGGCUGAAUGGAUUCGAAAAAGGUAAAACUCAACUGUUUAACUCUAGGGGAGUUGGAAAAUGAGCCUAUUUUCAAAAAAAGUGGAGUGUUCCUUUAAAGGUGCAGUAAGCAAUUUCUGAGAAUCAUUGUUGAUAUUUUGAAAUCAACCCAAACAACAAAACUCUAGGCUAUUUUCUGCAAGCUUUUUUCAAUGUAAAUUAAAUAUAAUUUUUACUUUUCCUAAUUCACAAAGUAUAAACUGCAAAAGCAAAAACUGUGAGUAGAAAAUUAAUUUUACAUAUUACAGCUUUUUAUAAUUACAAGUCAAUGUGCGAUACCAAAGAGGACCACAUGGACAUGCCAAAAGACCACUAUACCAGCCGCCUUGACCUGACUACAUAUAGGUUAAGCUACUUAUACGGAUCCGUUCAGAAUUACAAACACAGCAAAAUGCAGUGAUAUGAAGGUGAAUAGACAGCAUCAGUGAACAGUCAGAGUGAGUGUUUGUGUUUUUGCUUGGAGUGUCUGAUGCCUAUAGCUACAUAAACGCCACUGACCCUCGCAAACUCCUCCAAAACACGUGCUUCUUCCGCGAGCAUCCAUUAUAAAAGUCUCGACCAUUUUGAAAUGUGCUGCUUGGGUCUUACCUUGAUUGUAAUCAAACAAUCGUCAUCCAUCAAAACAUUACUAGUGAGACACUGGUUGCACACACCCCGCCAUAAUCACUUCAGCAGUGUCUACGAGGGCACGAUAAAAUUAUCAAUAAUAAUCGCCCGUUUCGGAUUAUAUUCGAGCGCGAUGAUUGGCUACAUUUAAUGCCAUAUAUCUUGAAUAUGUGUGGGCGUUUCUCUAUCUGUCGCCCUAGAGCUGAACUUGACACAUGUGGACAGGCUACAUAUAGAAAUGUGCGCGUGUUUUGAUGGUUCAGGCCGGGAGCCCCAGCGUCCUCUAUCGGCUGAAUCAAGUCUCGCACAUUCAAAGGAAAUAGAUAACCUCCCAUUCGGAGUAGAUAGAUAAAUUUUAAAGAACCAUUUUCGCAUUCAGAGUAACAUUAGAUAGAUAAAUGUAUUGUUGCUGGAGUGUUGUUGGAAUUGUUGUAGUAUUUUUUUCAUCAAAACACAUUGUUUUUGACGUUUGGUUUGAGUCACCAACCAAUUUUGUGUAUCUGCUCUUUACAAAUUCUAUUACUCAUUAUGCCUGUUAAGUGUGUGUGUUUACGUCACACAAUCGCUGAAGAAUAUUCAAAUGUUGUAUAGUUCAAUAUUUGAAUAUUGUAUAUUUAAAUACAGAAUAGUGUUUAUUGUGUUUUCUGAUUUCUUAUUGAUAAUAAAUUCAAGUAAAACAGCCUUAUCUCACUACCUCUCUUCAUAUCCAUCAAAAUAAUCUUGAAUCAUAGAUAUUGUUAUGUCCUAUCAAUGGCUUAAUCUCCUGUAGAGGGCGUAAAGGCUCCAUUCAUGAAACCCAUAUUUUCUCAACUGGAAGAGUGCAUCAAUUCACAUAGUCUAUACUUUUGAAUCAUUGCAUUUGAAUCAUUUACUCAUUCCUGAGUAAAUACAUUUUGUAAUUUGUAGUGAGAUUAAUAUAAAAACAUACUCAACUGGGAGUUCACAGUGGUGAAAUUAUAUGCAAUAACAAUAGCAUUAGCAUAAAUGUAAUACAUCUUUUAUGGCAAAGGUUCUGUAGAGCAAUUUCUUCGACUUGCAUCAGGGAGAUCCCAAUGCGUUGCAUCCUCUAAAAACAACAUGAAUUACCUUUGAAGAUAGAGUUGCAUUUUCUUUAGUCUGCACAUGUAGACCAAACCAGUUUUGUGAAUGCACACUGUUCAUUGGGCAUUGCUGAUGAAAUGGUAUUAAUUAGCAUUGGAAGAUAUAACUAAACGUGAAUGAACAGCACCUUAAAUGUGUCCUUCUGGGAGACUAUGACUCAUAAAGUCUUAGUGUAGCCAUUAGAACCCACAUUUGACUGGUUCUGCAUACAUAUUUGUGUUUAUGAGCCAGCAUAAAUGCGAGGAAAUUAAGAUGUUAGUUAUCCCUCUCAUAACUUAAAUAUAAACCAGUCUGUUUCUGACAUUUGAAGGUCAACGCUCAAGCUCCACUGUACAAGGCCAAUUCGUUUAGUCUCCUUUCUAAGAAGGGAGGGGUAGAGGUAGAAGAAAAAGGAACUGAAGACUCAAUCUCAAGCCUGUUAGUACUGCAGCAGCAGGGGUUUGCCAUAGGGCUAUCACAAGUAAAGAUCAAACAAGCGCCGUUUCGCUCUCAUACUCAGAGUACUUAUUUUGGAAUAAAUUGAGUUAAAUCUAAGGCUCAAGGUUUUUUUUUAAGAUGUGAGAGAUUUGUUUUCUGCUGAAGGAUAUGUUCAGGGGUAUUGAAUGGUGGUUUUUGUUGAUAAUUGAUGUAUUACUGUUAUGGGAAUUGUGAAGCUGCUGUUUUGUAAUGCAUAAAAACAGAAAGGCCUGCACAAAGAGUUGAAUGUAAUUAAAGAAGUUUUGGUAUCAUGUAGUCUGGAGGCUUUCACUUUUCUUUUCUGUAACUUAGACUGGACUAUAGAGGAUACUUGAAAUGUGACAUCCUUUGCUACUGUCCUUGUAUUCUUUGUGAAAAUGAGUGGUGUGUCAUGCAGAGCACAAACUGUUGGCCUAUGUAGGAUUUAUUUUUUUUUUUUCACCAGCUUCCUGCUAUUUUCGUUCAGAGCAUCUGUGCCACACAAACCACCUGGGUUUUGAGCUCGGAGAGGGUAGGAAUCAUUCAGUGGAGACUCAACAGCAGAUUUUAGGACAGUAAAAUCAAAGAACAUGCAACAGUACAAGAAUCUCCACUGCAAAAAAAAAAAAAAGACAAAAAGUGUUCUCGUUGCUUCAUAACAUUAACGUUGAACCACUGUAGUCACAUGAACUGUUUCAAAUACAUCUUUAGUAGCUUUCUGGGCAUCGAAAGUGUUAAUUGUUUUGCUAGCAAUGCAGGCCUCACUGAGCCAUCGGAUUUUAUGAAUAAUAUCUUAAUUUGUGUUCCGAAGAUGAACGAAGGUCUUACGGGUGUGGAAUGACAUGAGGGUGAGUAAUUAAUGACAUAAUUUUCAUUUUUGGGUGAACUAACCCUUUAAAUUUAGUUUAAUUUAGAUUUUACUGCAUGAAGCACAUUUUUAGGUAAUUUUUCUUUGCUAUUUUUUAAUUCUUGCUACAAAAAGAGGUGUAAGAGGAUUUCAUGUAAUUGCCUAUUUUAGGAUUAUGUGUGAAUAAUCUUAUAUUUAAUACUCCAAUACAUAGAUAAAAUUGUGGUAAGAUAAGCCAGUUUUUACUGUGAAGCAUGAGAAAGUAAAAGCUGGAGAAAAAUCAAUACACCUUAUAUUUUGUGAUUUUUUUUUUUUUUUUUUUUCAUUUCUAUGGAGGCCCCCACAUGAAAUGUGGAAGAAAAAUAGAUAAAGUGGCCAUGUUUUUUUUGUUGUUGUUGUUUGUUUUGUUAUUUGUUUUUUUUUUAUGUGAGCAAAUGUAUUUUGACAAGCAAACCUUUUUUUCAGCAUAAAAGUCAACUAUAUGACUCACUUAAUGACAUUUUGAAUAAACAAAAAAACAUGCAUCAUUUCUUAGAUGAAACCCACUGGCUCAAGAUGAGUCUGUAGAUGAGUCAGUAGUGGCCACAUAUCUCACUCUUUACAAACUGAUUGAUUGAAAUGAAAUAAGCACUACAGAUGAAACAAUCAAGGCAGUCUGAGCAGCAUCAGUAAUGGAAGUGAUAUUUAGGCCAUUAACGAACUAUUCGUGCUGACUCUUUCUAUCUUCCUGUGAAUGCACAACAUGAACACAUAAACAAGCAAACAUACAGUCUUCCCAAUUAUCUGCUGUAAGAACAGUGUAACUGUGUCAGAGUGUCAGCCUGCAGGUCAUGCUCAUAGCGACGUAACCAUUUAGAAUCUUCAUGCAUCUGCAAGCAAAUUCAAAUCAUUUCACUCAUGCUCAAAUCACCCUUCAGAUCAACCUACACUGCACAUUAUGAUUGAGAUGCAAGUAGGCACACACUUGUAAAUGAGAGUAGGCCAAGUCAAGUUGCAUUUUCCAAAUUAUGGUAAUUUCAGUUUUUGUGUUGUAUACUUGUCACUUCUAAAUACAUUUUUAUUCAUUUGUUCUGAAGAGCAAGUGCAAGUGAAAGCAGUGUGAGGUUUCUCAUCACCUUCUCAUAUGAAGUAUGCACACAAUGCACUCUUGAUAAAUAGGAAAUUGAUAUGGUAAAUAUACUAGUAGUGAACGUGAGGAUGCAUUUGAGAAGCUAAAACUAUACCCUUCUCAAAAGGUUUCUCAUAUUUACUAGUAUAGUAAACAUCGAAGCAUUUUUGGGUGAACUAACCCUUUAAUGGUUAACCCACAUCCUGCAAGAACUUCUUCCAGGUUACAGAGAUGCUUCUUCAAGGAAUACUGUGUCUCUGAGGUAUUUUGUGGCACAAAAUAUGGCCGUUUAAUAACCACCACAACCAUCAAAAAGUAGUCAUAUUUAAAAGUGCAGUAGGUGGUCUUGGAAAUGCUGACGUUAGCUUGCUAGCAUUGAUUAAAAUCAUACGAUCCCACCCUCCCUGCAAAUCGCCGUCAAAAGCCAUGCCUCCUCCAAAACACAUGAAGGCACACACACACAGCUGCUCUCGGCAAAACAUCACAAAAGACGGUGUUAAACUAGCUCAAACCACAUUACAUUACAAUAAUAAUGAACGUAAACAACUUAGAGAGCUUGUACCUGACUGCUGCAGAUUAAUUUCGUUGUUGAUACUGUUGACAAGGAUACGCAUAAUUCCGAGUCUGACUGAACAGCUCCGUUUAGAAUGUCACGGGUUGCCAUCUCUUAAUUACGGUAGUUAUGACGUGAAUGCAGCAUAAGCUCGUUGUUUUGAUUCACCAGGAACUGUAAAAGGUGGUUGCUGUUUGUUUGCGGUGCUCUGUGACUGAUGUCUGUCUACAUAAACUCUGCAUAGCAUGAAACGUACUGAUGACGUAUGAUGUCUGCGCGAAUAGGGUGAGCAAGGGUAUGUAAAAACAUAUGUUGACAGCAGUGUUGAGUGUAACGCGUUACUAAGUAAUGCGUUACUGUAAUUAAAUUACUUAUCCACUGAAAAAGUAAAGUAAGAGAUUACUGUUCAUUUUUAGGUAAUUUAAUUACAGUUAUUUAUAAUGUACUUGCGUUACAUACUGUAAAUUAGUUCAACAGUUCUGUUUAAAUCAAUAUUGAAUUAAAAUCUAAAUUUGUCAUCUAAAGGUAAAAGUGAACACUGCUUCUUUAAAAUCGUUAGCUGUUAGUGCAGUUGCGCGUGACCAGUCGGCUGCGUAGUCGCUGUCUGAAGAUGUCGGCAGAAGCGAAUGGCUGUUUUGCAGAAUGGAAAUAUUCGAAUUACUUCACUUUUUUUGACACAGGUAGGCAAAAACAUUAACGUAAAAUGUAAGCUAUGUCCUAGGGAGAAAAAACUGCGCGCGCUCUCUGAGAGACGGUCUUCAGUCAGUGCGCUCUCGAUCAAAGCGCACACACAUAGCCGCCUCUCGCGAGUGUCAAAUUUUUGCGGUUUAUUACACAUAAACGUUCAAAUACACACACAGUUAUGUCAAAAUGCCCGUCCUGGCGUAUAUUCGCGUUGGUUAUGUGAAUGUGAACAGUAUGUGUGGCAGCAUAUUGUCUCCGUCCAUUAGGUCUAGUGACAGCAGCCUUUAAAACAUGCUACUGUCUACCAUUGGCUGUCUGUAUUAUAAAUGAUAAUCAAACAAGAAAAGAAAAGCUCUAAUAAGGAUUAAUCUAUAUUCAAUUUAUACAGUUAUGACUAUGCAGAGAUAUUUUAUAUUUGAUUAUUCAAUUUCUGUGGUAUUUUUACUUACUACUAUUAGACCUACCUGGAAAAAAAAAUAUAGCAUUGUUUUAUUUGUAUUUUUAUAUAUUUUUACCGUGGUAUCGAGUAUUGUGCACUUUUGGUGGUAUCGGUACCGACUACUAGAUUUUUGGUAUAGUGACAUCCCUAUUUGUUACUAAAAAAAUUUAAGUAUUAUAAAGUAAAUAAAAGUAUUAUAGUAUAUGUUUUAAUAAAGUUAAAAUGUUUUAAAAACUAUAAAAGGCUAAACUAUUCCAUGUUUGACUAAAUAAUUUCCUUUCUAUUGUCUAUCCGGUCAAGGUUUAUAGGGAUUUUAAGAAGUAAUUAGUAAGUUACUUAUUGAUUAAUUAAAUUACUUUUCAGACAGAGUAAUUAGAAAAGUAUUUUAAAUACAACAUUGAUGAUGUAAUUAGUAAUUAGUAAUUAAUUACUUUUUUGAAGUAACUUACCCAACACUGGUUGACAGGCAGGUAGGGCGUUGUAUCAUUUCAUUCCAACCAAAUAUAAUGAUUGGAUUUACAUUUUAUGGUCUUACGCCUUUCACAGAUGAUAUUUAUAAAAAUAAAUUUAGACCGUUUAACAUAGUGAUUGCUAUCAGGAUAUGAGGAGACUUUCAACCGGUAAAACAAAAAAUGUGUCUGUAAAGAAUAACCUAUUGCACCUUUAACUUAAUUGUGACAUUAGCUGUUGAAUGCACUUCUUCACCAUCAUGCACAUAUACUGUUCGUAUUAGAGUACCAACAAUUCAAAGCCACAUAGAGAAUUUGUAGGUUCCAUCUGACAAUAAUUGUAACAUGAAUAAUUCAAUCUCAUUGAUUUGCUGCUUGGUCUGAAUUGCUUAAUUCUACAAUAACAUUGAUCUCUAGUCCAGAACCCACAAACAUUGUGUCUUGCUGGACAGUUGCAGUCUUGAUUGAUAGAACAAGUGUGGUCUUGACAUGCUUAGGAUACUAUAUGUCUCCUCAAUCACAUGAUAACACAGCAGCCUUGAUGUCAUCUUACAAUUCAUCAGACUGCUAGUCUACAUUUAAAAAAAAUCCCCAUUGCUGUCAAAAGCUUAUUCCCUGUACUUUUCUUCUUGUAAUGUUGAAUCACCACAAGGAGGUCAAGUCUGUGUUGUUGGUACAGUCAUGCCAGCCUGGGCUGCAGCUCUUUUUAUGACCCACUAAGGGAACAUUCACUCUUCUUGUAGAGCUGCAAUAUUGAGUCACAGUCUAACUUGGCCCAGGGCACUGAAUGUUUAAUGCACUAUUGUGAAAUGAGUAUAUGAUUUGAUCACUGUCUUUAAAACAAGCAUGUCACGCAACUCACUCCAUAUUCUCUCCAACUGUUUUAAUAAAGUCAGUCCUUUCUCUAGAUAGAGGCCUCUCUGAAUAUAUUUGUGUCUUCCAAGGCUCUAAUUUAUUAUUUGUUAAAGAAUACAGUCAUGUUUAUUAUGUAGUCAUCUCUCUGGUGAAUUCAUUAAAGAUAGCUGAUAUUGACCCAUUAUAAAUAUGAAGAUACUCUCUCACAACCUAAAGCACAUGAUUUAUCACGUCUCUAUUAGAAAAGCGAUGCAUAUCACUGCAAAUUGCUUGUUACAUAUUUAAAACAAAGUACUUUACUUUUAUGUUGCCUUAUAUUAAAAUUAGUAUUAUAUUAAAAGUCUCCUUGAAUAUAUCUCCUUCGUUGUGCGCUUUAGUACACUCACCACAUGUGACGCCCACAAAUAAUACCAGUAAUUGUUGACCUUGAGGGGGCGAUGGUUUUUUUGGUCCCCAUGAUGAAAACAAGUUAUAAAUCAUACUAAAUGAAUUUUUUUUUUUUUUUUGUAAAUGUAAAAAAUGCUAAAAGUUUUCUGUGAGGGCUGUGUUUAGGGAGAGGGUUAGAAGAUUUGUACAGUAUAAAAAUCAUGUCUAUGAAAAGUUCCCAUAAAAUGUGUUUAUAUUAAUUCUCAGAACUAAUUUUUGAAGAAAUAUUGGCUGAUAUUUUUAAUGUACUAACACACAUGAAUUACUGUAUGUUUCCCUAAAAAAUAAAUGAUUGAAAAUUG
Ctenopharyngodon idella (grass carp) is the source of this 11148-nucleotide long non-coding RNA. RefSeq lists it as uncharacterized. NCBI's taxonomy places the organism in Eukaryota, Metazoa, Chordata, Actinopteri, Cypriniformes, Xenocyprididae. The record is from RefSeq and is a predicted model, not a curated record. The transcript has 2 exons.